UCAUAUGCUCACACACAUGCACAUUAAGGCUUUGGUGGAAAGAGUGGCCCUCUAAUAACUUGUUUUUUAAUAGCUGGAGUUCCACAUGAAGGAGAAGAAAGAGGACCUCCAGAUUAGCUGGUCUUUCAUCAGUGUGCCGGAAAUGGCCAUUAAUAUCCAGCCCAAAGCACUGGGGGAGGACCAGGUGGCUGAGACAAGUGCGAUGUCUGACACUGUCAAGGACAUCUUGAAGCAUUUGGUUGGUUCUGCCUCUCCAUCAGUGGUUCUGAUCACCAAGCCCACGACUGUAAAGGAAGCUCAGAACUUACAGUGUGCUGCAUCUACUGCUCAGGAAUCCUGUCCUCCUAAACCUCCAAGGGCCCACGAGCUAAAGCUACUGGUGAGGAACAUCGGCGCCUUGCUGCUCAGCGAGCCCGGUGUCUCAGGUCACAUUAACGCAGUGUGCGUCGUGCAGCUGAACGAUCCUGUUCAGAGGUUCUCCAGCACCCUGACGAAAAACACUCCGGACCUCACGUGGGAAGAGGAAUUCACCUUCGAGUUGAAUGCCAAGUCGAAGGAGUUACACCUGCAGAUUUCAGAGGCUGGGCGAUCCUCAGAAGGUCUGCUGGCGACGGCGACAGUUCCUCUGGAUUUAUUUAAGAAGCAGCCUUCUGGGCCACAGAGCUUCACGCUGACCAGCGGGUCUGCCUGCGGCAGCUCGGUGCUGGGCUCGGUCACGGCAGAGUUCUCUUACAUAGAACCUGGUGAAUUGAAAUCCUGGCCCAUCCCUCCCCCUGUUCCUGCUGCAAAAAUAGAAAAGGACCGCACGGUGAUGCCCUGUGGGACUGUGGUCACUACUAUCACUGCUGUGAAGACCAAGCCUCGCGUCGACAUGGGGAGGGCGUCCCCGCUGAGCUCCGAUUCUCCGGUGAGGACUCCCAUCAAGGUGAAGGUGAUCGAGAAGGACAUCUCUGUCCAGGCCAUCGCCUGCCGCAGCGCCCCCGUCAGCAAAACACUCUCUUCUUCAGACACAGAAUUGUUGGUGUUGAAUGGUUCGGAUCCAGUGGCUGAAGUUGCCAUUCGACAGCUCAGUGAAUCUUCAAAGCUGAAACUCAAGUCGCCACGGAAGAAAAGCACUAUUAUCAUAUCAGGGAUCUCCAAGACCUCACUAUCUCAGGACCACGACGCUGCCCUGAUGCAGGGCUACACAGCCUCUGUGGACAGCACCCACCAGGAGGACGCCCCAUCCCAUCCGGAGAGGGCCGCGGCCUCUGCCCUGCCAGAGGAACCCGAGUCAGCCCAGGCAUCCCUUGCCCCCAAGCCCCAGGAGGACGAGCUAGACUCCUGGGACUUGGAGAAGGAGCCACAGGCCGUGGCAUGGAGCAGCCAGGUCCUGCUGGACCCCGACGGUGAUGAGCUGUCAGAGAGUUCCGUGAGUGUCUCGGAGCCGGGCGCUGCCAAAAAGCAUAAAGGAGGAAUUCUAAGGAAAGGCGCAAAGCUGUUCUUCCGCCGGCGGCAUCAACAGAAAGACCCGGGCAUGAGUCAGUCACACAAUGACCUUGUGUUCCUGGAGCAGCCAGAGGGUUCCCGGAGGAAAGGCAUCACCCUCACCAGGAUCUUGAACAAGAAGCUGCUCUCCAGGCACAGAAACAAGAACACCAUGAACAGUGCCCCCGUGGAGCCCUGCACGUAGGGCCUGAGGUCAUCACCUCCAAGCCAUAAGACGUGCACCUGCGUUAACUACCCUCACCAGGACGCAGCCAGUGUGUCCGCCAGAUGUCCAGAUGCCCCGCUUGUCUUGCUGGGUUUCUUCCAACCAUCUCGUCAUUUAAAGGGAAAACAAAAUCUGAGUCUCCAGCCAGGAGGCUUCUCCCAGAGGGGACGAAAAAGCCCAACUUGCCACCAGAUGCCAAAUGAGACUUGACAGCCACAGAGCUUGGGCUGUGCUCAAGGCUAAGGGUUAGGGUUCAAUAUUAGAAGGAGAUUAACAUUAUAAGUGAAAUAAUAUGCUCUAAUAGAUUGUGGAGGGCAGGUUUGAGGGACUCAGUUUACCUAUUCUACACUAACAAGUGUUGUUUUGGGUCCAUGCCUGGACCAUGUCACAAAAAGGAGGUGCCUCCCUGUGCUGUCACUGUGAAUGGAAAGGAUGGGUCACCUCUCUUCAUCUGCUGCUUGGAAUAAAAAAUGCAGCUGGCCCUGAGUACAGGGAAGUGGAACAUAGGCAGGAUUUUGGAUAAAUAGAGAAAUUUUGAUAGGAAUGGAGACGCUACGACAGACGUAGGAAGUCAUCUACCUUUGAUAUUAGCCAUAGAACUUGAACACUAACUAUAUCCUAUGCAUAGUAUGCAGAACACUUUUCUAAGUUUACUUUGAGCCUACUUGCAAGUGGAAGAUAUAUAUAUUCUCACAUGGUUUUUACAUUUUUCUCUAUCGUGUUAAAAGCUCUAAUAAUGCUAGUGGAGCAGUUGACAUCCAGGUUUUUUUUUUCCUGCCUGUCAUAGUUGCUAAACAAGAGCACAGCAGGCCUGUCAGAUGAAGUCAGGAGCCAUACGUGACUGCUCGUAGAACACAGUAACCAAACACAUACAUGGAUUUUGCCAAAUGCUGCCAGUAGCCAAAACAAAGUCCUUUUAGGGCAAUAGAGGAAAUUAUUUUGUGUCUCACGUGUCAGUCUUAGGAAUGGAAGUUUAAUAACAAAUGGGCCAAACUUGCAGGACAUUCCUUCUAUGAGUGCUUCAGAAUUUUGCUGUGAACAGUCCUCUUGGACACAGGUUGGGGUGCCCUUGUUUGGGUUUGUUUUGGUGGAAAACGUGAUAAACCUGGCACACCAUUUGAAUAUCCCUAAGUAUCAUUCCAGUUGCUUUCCUCGUCAGUUGCCUUUUUCUAUUUCAGUUCAUCCACAGAUUUCACUUUGGUCUGCUCCUUCUGAAUGUGCCACUGCCAGUAGACAUGCUGGUCAAAGAGCAGUCAUCAUUGGGGUGAAGUGUUUUUGACAGUUUAAUAUGAUUCACUUUUCUCCAAAGACAUGUAAAAGGCUGUUAGGAAAGCUUGACUUCUGUCAUGAAGAUGGAAAUGGGCAAGCUUCCUUCCGUAGCCUCUUUUGUUAAUCCUUAAACAUUCAGUAUUUCAGGGGUAAUAAAGCCACUGGUGAGUAAAAACCUAUAUAAAAACCAAAAUUAUAGGAUUUUUUUCUUUUUUAGUAAAAACCUGUAUAAAAACCAAAAUUAUCAGAUUUUUUCUUUUUUAGUAAAAACCUAUAUAAAAACCAAAAUUAUAGGAUUUUUUUCUUUUUUAGUAAAAACCUGUAUAAAAACCAAAAUUAUAGGAUAUUUUUUCUUCUUUUUUAGAGGGAGAGAUUAGAAAACAUUAGGAAUUUCACUUUAAAAUUUGCAUUGCAGACUUCUUAGGUGUUCCAGGAAUUAUUAAAAUGACUUUUUCGACCUGCUUUGUUUUUAAAAAUUAUAUUCCAGUUUUAAUCAUUGUAAAAAAAGCACCUGGAGUUUCAAAAUAUGUGAAUACAACCAAGUUUCUGUCCCUAAAGUCAGGCAUCACUGCUAGUCUUUUGGGACAGAUGGGACAGAUGUUCACUUUAAUGUUUUACUUGAAGUUUUACUGCUCUUGGCCAUGUGGUUAAAAAAAGCCUGAGACAUAUUUAAGAAUUCCAAGAGGAUAUUAUGUGUCAGAAUUUCAGACACUGAUGAGAAGUUUUUAAUUCUUUUUUGAUUUUGGAAUUCAGGUGCACUCUAUUCAAGUGCAAGGAUAUCAGAAGUUUUUUUUUAUUUAAAAAAAUUUUUUUUUGAGACGGAGUUUAACUCUGUUGCCCAGGCUGGAGUGCAAUGGCAGCUUACUGCAACCUCUGCCUCCUGGGUUCAAGCGAUUCUCCUGCCUCAGCCUCCCAAGUAGCUGGGAUUACAGGUGCGCACCACCACACCUGGCUAAUUUAUUUGUAUUUAGUAGAAAUGGAAUUUCACCAUGUUGGUCAGGCUGGUCUCAAACUCCUGACCUCAGGUGAUCCACCCACCUCGGCCUCCCAGCGUGCUGGGAUUACAGGCAUGAACCACCAGGCCGGCCCCAGAAUUUUAUAUUAAGCCUUCUUGCUCUC
Molecule: small RNA, 4081 nt
Filed under: Pongo abelii (Sumatran orangutan)
Lineage: Eukaryota; Metazoa; Chordata; Mammalia; Primates; Hominidae
Description: retained intron
Source: RNAcentral